AUGGCAACCAUCCACGCAGCUCCUGCCCACUCCUGCCGCACCGCUGCUCGCCGCGCCCCGCGCCGUGCGCCCCGCUGCAGCUGCUGCCAGCCCACCACGCGCCCAGGGCAGCCCCAUGAGCACGCAACGGGAGUUAACUACAAACUGUCGCGUGGCUUCCCGAGCAAGGCAGGGUCCCUGCAAGUCGCACGCCGCUCGUUUUCUCGUGUUGUUGUUGUUGCCCAAAUGCGUGGAACAGCCAGAAAUGAGACCAAGAGGCAAUGUGGCGUGAGCAAGCUGGUUUUGGCCAGCACCCAAAAAGCGCUGUGCUGCUCCCGGCCGUGCGAUGGACACGAGCCACGUGUGGCCAUCGGGAAGGGGUCUGGGGGGACCCGCGGCGUUUUGCUUUCCCCUGCCAGCAUCCAACCCUGCAUCUCUGCUGUGCUGUGACGGGGGGGUCACACAAGCCAGGGUGGGGGCUGAAACACAACUGCUGUUUUCCAUUAAGGUCUCCAAACAGUCAAUUAAUUUGGAUUUUACCAGACAGCUAUUUGUUUGUUAAAUUAAAACCAGCUGGUUAUUGAAAGAAACAUAUUUAUUGGGAAUUAGCAGCCAUGUGCUGGAUGGAUAUUUACUACCUAGUUGUCAAAGCUCGAAUUCUGUGUUUAAUAAUCAUUUUUUUUCCUUUCAAUUAACGUAGGGGGAAAAAAAUCAUCCCAUUAAUUCUGAAUUAAGCACGCGUUUGGAAAACUUCAAUUCUGAGCGCUGCUGACAUCGCUGUCGGGUUAAAGCCUGGCUGUGGCGGAGCAGUGGGAGCUGUGCACGGGGAUGUGAAGCCCCUCGCCCAGGUCCAAACCCGACCCCAGGGGGUCUGAACCCUGCAGAGCAUCACUUCUGACCUUUCCCAGCUGAAAUGGGUGGCUUGGGGCUGUAUCUACCCCUCACCCCGGGUUAAUCCCUAUCCGAAAGCAGGGAAGGGGUUGGCGCAGGGGGCACUGAGUGAAAUGCAAAGGGCAGCCCACUCCUCUCCUCCUCCCAGGGCCUGGCCAGCCAAAACUUUCAAAUAUUUCAAGGGUUGGAAGGAAAUGGUAAUUGGGCCUUCCUGGAAUAGGCAGGGAGGGAGAUGAAUCGUUUAGAGGAAGGUGGACGGCGGUCGGAGAGCUCCUGCGCUCUGCUUCCUUUCUUCCCGAGCUCGCUGUGUGCUGAAACGCUUACUGCCCGUCAUGAGCAGUUUCCUUGGGUGCCCAGUGCCCGCCUGGGCUGCGCUUGGCUUUUAUCGUUGUGGCGAAGAAAUUUGGUUUAUCUAAAACAGGGCUGUGGGUGUGGGUGGGGGGAAUAAUGCCUUAUGGCUCAGGACCAGGCACUGGUAGAGGUGCUGGUGCUCAGCAUCUCGGUAAU
This 1377-nucleotide long non-coding RNA is filed under the name Anser cygnoides (Swan goose). Its description in RNAcentral is "lncRNA (ENSACDG00005004161.1)". Lineage: Eukaryota; Metazoa; Chordata; Aves; Anseriformes; Anatidae. The record is from RNAcentral.